Molecule: ribosomal RNA, 366 nt
Filed under: uncultured Fusobacterium sp.
Lineage: Bacteria; Fusobacteriati; Fusobacteriota; Fusobacteriia; Fusobacteriales; Fusobacteriaceae
Description: bacterial SSU rRNA
Rfam family: Bacterial small subunit ribosomal RNA
Source: RNAcentral
GUAUGUCACAAGCGUUAUCCGGAUUUAUUGGGCGUAAAGCGCGUCUAGGUGGUUAUGUAAGUCUGAUGUGAAAAUGCAGGGCUCAACUCUGUAUUGCGUUGGAAACUGUGUAACUAGAGUACUGGAGAGGUAAGCGGAACUACAAGUGUAGAGGUGAAAUUCGUAGAUAUUUGUAGGAAUGCCGAUGGGGAAGCCAGCUUACUGGACAGAUACUGACGCUGAAGCGCGAAAGCGUGGGUAGCAAACAGGAUUAGAUACCCUGGUAGUCCACGCCGUAAACGAUGAUUACUAGGUGUUGGGGGUCGAACCUCAGCGCCCAAGCAAACGCGAUAAGUAAUCCGCCUGGGGAGUACGUACGCAAGUAUG